This is a non-coding RNA of Taeniopygia guttata (zebra finch), 688 nucleotides long. The record is from RefSeq and is a predicted model, not a curated record. NCBI's taxonomy places the organism in Eukaryota, Metazoa, Chordata, Aves, Passeriformes, Estrildidae.
GCCCCGGCCCCCUCCUCCCGGCCAUUGUCCUGCGCCCGCCCGACGGCUCUUAAGCCCAACCACGGCGGGGUAGCGCCGAAGCGGCUCCGAGCGGCCCAGGCCCCGGCGCCCUCGCCCCAGGCACGACUCUCCCCAUUUUCCACCUUCUCUAACGAGGAAAGGUCCGUGACCACAGCAGGCUCAUCAGGAUACAAGAGCAGGUUUCUACUUUGGGGCUGACAAAGACGAGGAGGAAACCAGAAUAAUGGAAAUGGUGUUUGUGCCUGCAGGGAUAAACAGGAAUUUUCUUAACCAGAUUGGAACCUCCAGCAGGAAAACAUCCUGCUGGAGCCCAAGUUAAUGAGUGCUCUCUGUCUCUCGGCUCUCCACUCGGCUCCCUGUGGAACAGGGAUGCACCCAGGGCCCCUCAGGCACCCUUUGGAAGGGAUUCCCGGGCAGGGCAAUGAACAUGAAGCCUGUCACCACCAGCGUGGGUUAUCCUCCUUGGAGCACCUGAUUCAGUGUCUCCUGAAGUCACUGGGAGUUUUUCCAGUGGAUCUCAAGUCAAGGCUCUUCCAAGUUGGCGCUGGCUUUGAUGGGCUUUGAGUGUGGCACACGAGGUACAAUGGGCUCUUUGUUCCUCUUGAGUUCCCCGGGAGGUGUGCUGAGCGAUGCUGAAAUCAUCCCAAAUAAAUGCAGAUUAAACCCU